RNAcentral lists this ribosomal RNA (301 nucleotides) under uncultured bacterium. RNAcentral describes it as "partial 16S ribosomal RNA". It matches the Rfam family "Bacterial small subunit ribosomal RNA", at positions 509 to 809 of the family's 1533-position model. The record is from RNAcentral.
CAGUAGCCACGGGAAUACGUAGGUGGCAAGCGUUGUCCGGAAUCAUUGGGCGUAAAGGGAGCGCAGGCGGGCAUGUAAGUCUUUCUUAAAAGUUCGGGGCUCAACCCCGUGAUGGGAAAGAAACUACAUGUCUUGAGUACAGGAGAGGAAAGCGGAAUUCCCAGUGUAGCGGUGAAAUGCGUAGAUAUUGGGAGGAACACCAGUGGCGAAGGCGGCUUUCUGGACUGCAACUGACGCUGAGGCUCGAAAGCCAGGGGAGCGAACGGGAUUAGAUACCCGAGUAGUCCCUGUCUCUUAUACA